GGGGGCAUAGCUCAGAGGUAGAGCGCCCGCUUCGCAUGCGGGAAGUCCGGGGUUCAAUCCCCCGUGCCUCCA
RNAcentral lists this transfer RNA (72 nucleotides) under Caenorhabditis elegans. RNAcentral's name for it is "tRNA-Ala". It matches the Rfam family "tRNA". Rfam says of the family: Transfer RNA (tRNA) molecules are approximately 80 nucleotides in length. The record is from Rfam by way of RNAcentral. Lineage: Eukaryota; Metazoa; Nematoda; Chromadorea; Rhabditida; Rhabditidae.